CCAUGAAAUAUCACACGCAGAACUGAAACACCUUAUCUACAAGGAGGUCCUGGUGGCAACAGUGGAUUCAAUAGAGAAGAAAAUCAAUACAGCCCACAGAGAUUAAAAACAUCCGAGAAAGACUUAAGAAAAAAGUACUUUACCAUCUGCAAAAUAUGGAUUAUAUGACAUCAGACACUGUUCCUGGUAAUGGGCCCCUUGACAUGGAAAUGGGCAUCAAAGAAAUAGCACUUUAGCACUAUAAAUCAGAGCAUCAGCUAUGCAAACAAACAAACAAAAUCUUGGAAGCACCCUAAUUCAGAUCCAAGAAAUAAGUGCAAACAGAUUCUAAAAAGAAUGGAACAAGUUUAUGGUGAAGCAACAACAACCAUCAAAUCUUGCAAAAUAACUACCACCAAGGAGUUGUAUUGAGAGAAGUCAUGGUUCUUCAGACCAGUAUGAAAUACAGUUGGACAAGACUGAUUGUUUUACAUGGCACUUACUCCCAAGUAUGUGUAGAAAGAUUUAUUGCAGAUUUAUAGUGGAUUUAUAGCAUGUAUACAAAUGGUAUAGGCAAGAAAGUCAGAGCUGUUAUGAAAUAAAUAGCACCAGAGAAGUAGAAACUGAUAGAAAUUAUUUUUCAAAGCUAUGGUCCAUGUUCCAUGAAAACAGAAACACACACGAUCACUCUUAAGUUUGUUCUAUCCAAUAUCCAUAUUAUCCUGUGAGGUUUAUUGUGGGGGAGGGGAAUCUGCACAAAAAUCCACCUGUUUAAAACGUUUGAACAAAUACACCCGUCUUUUCUGAGGGAUUUUGGGAAUUGUGGACCAAAAAAGUAACUUUUACCAACUCUUCAUUUGCUGAAUAGUAUAACCCAAUGGGCAGUGACACUUUGAUCUGCACAUUUGUCCAGGAGGGGCAGAAUAGGUCAGUUUGUAUCAAAAUCUGCAAAGUUUGAAGGAUGGCAGACAGAACAGAAGCAGCUGUUGGGAUAUAUUUUGGAUAACCACCUUCUCUUGCUCUCCUAUGCCAUGCUCUUUUUCUUUAUCCUAGGAGAUAUUUUUCUCACAACAAUUCUCUAGGGAACUGCCAAAAACAGGUCAACCUACUGAAAAAGUAAUUGUGAAGCUUAUAAAAGUUUGAAAGGAAGGAGGAAAUUGAUUUAAGGAGAAUGCGGGACAGAGGAGCGAUCUGACAGCCAUCACUUCACACAAUUCUUUUGCUUUUGGGGGUAGCAUAGUCUGGGGAGGGAGAUGAGGAGAGAUCACUCCACACGAAUAUACAGAGGACAGAAGGCUUCAUGACAGUAUCAUGCUUGUAUUUCUGUGUCCUCAAAUUCUUCACUUUUUAUUUGGCCCUCCCUGUUGAUGUCUCAGGGGUUUUGUCCUAUAUGUUUGACUUGUGAAGUUCACCAAACCAGCAAACUGAGGCAUGCUCUGCAGAGUUCAUAGCCAGCUGUGGUUGCAAUGUUGCGCUAUCAUGAGCAUGACCAUUUUAUUUGGUAUGGGUCUCCUUGCUCUCAUUAGGGUGCUCACAGACACUAGAAUGUUUUCUGACAAGUAAGAAGCAUCAGAGUUCCAGUGACAUACUUGUCAAAUUUGACACAAUGGUGGGAGCUGUUUCAUUUUAUUCUUUAUUUAUUUCUACCUGCACAUGCUUCUGUUGUUUUUACUGACUCCCUUUUGCAGCAUGUC
Long non-coding RNA from Sceloporus undulatus (fence lizard), 1673 nucleotides. RefSeq lists it as uncharacterized. The transcript is spliced from 3 exons. Lineage: Eukaryota; Metazoa; Chordata; Lepidosauria; Squamata; Phrynosomatidae. The record is from RefSeq and is a predicted model, not a curated record.